Molecule: ribosomal RNA, 440 nt
Filed under: uncultured bacterium
Lineage: Bacteria
Description: partial 16S ribosomal RNA
Rfam family: Bacterial small subunit ribosomal RNA
Source: RNAcentral
CCUACGGGUGGCAGCAGUAGGGAAUAUUGCUCAAUGGGGGAAACCCUGAAGCAGCAACGCCGCGUGGAGGAUGAAGGUUUUCGGAUUGUAAACCCCUUUUGUUAGAGAAGAAAAUGACGGUAUCUAACGAAUAAGCACCGGCUAACUCCGUGCCAGCAGCCGCGGUAAUACGGAGGGUGCAAGCGUUAUUCGGAAUCACUGGGCGUAAAGAGCGCGUAGGCGGGAUAGCAAGUCAGAUGUGAAAGCCUAUGGCUUAACCAUAGAACUGCAUUUGAAACUGUUAUUCUAGAGUAUGGGAGAGGUAGGUGGAAUUCUUGGUGUAGGGGUGAAAUGCGUAGAGAUCAAGAGGAAUACUCAUUGCGAAGGCGGCCUGCUAGAACAUAACUGACGCUGAUGCGCGAAAGCGUGGGGAGCAAACAGGAUUAGAUACCCGAGUAGUC